Long non-coding RNA from Argiope bruennichi, 552 nucleotides. RefSeq lists it as uncharacterized. The transcript is spliced from 3 exons. NCBI's taxonomy places the organism in Eukaryota, Metazoa, Arthropoda, Arachnida, Araneae, Araneidae. The record is from RefSeq and is a predicted model, not a curated record.
UAUUCCGAAACUAGAAUUCUCUGUUGGUAAUAUUAACAAGUGGAAGUAGGAAAAACAUUUUUCUGCAACCGCUUUGCAUUUCCACCUGUUCUUUCUCCGCCGGCUGUUGAACAGUGCAUAAUAAUAAAUGGCUACAGGUGGGAAUAAUAACUCUAGCCGCGGUACUGAUGUACUAGAUAGUGUAUCGAUUUCUUUUAAAGAAUGCAUUAUUGACAAAGAUUCUAUAGUUUUCCAUCUUGAUGCAAGCAAAUGAAGUAGUUCAGUCAUUUGAUGCUAGUGAAAUAGGAAUUACACUAGAUCCUGGGCUAUCAAGUUUCUAAACAACGUGAAGAAAUUUCAAAGUAGAACCUGGGCUAUCAAAAGUUUCUAAACAAUGUGAAGAAAUUUAAAAGUAGAACCUGGGUUAUCAAAAGUUUCUGAAUAAUGUGAAGAAAUUUCAAAGAAACAAAUGAACUUCACCAAAAGAUAGAAUUGAGUGGAAAAGAAAAAGUUAAUUUAAAACUUCAACUGGAUGUAACUUCACGUAACUGAUGAGAACAAAAUAAACCUACG